This 1048-nucleotide ribosomal RNA is filed under the name uncultured archaeon. Its description in RNAcentral is "bacterial SSU rRNA". It matches the Rfam family "Archaeal small subunit ribosomal RNA", at positions 1 to 1054 of the family's 1478-position model. The record is from RNAcentral.
UCCGGUUGAUCCCGGCAGAGGUUACUGCUAUCGAGGUUCGACUAAGCCAUGCGAGUCGAAUGUAGCAAUACAUGGCGUACUGCUCAGUAACACGUGGACAACCUACCCUGAGGUCGGGGAUAAACCCGGGAAACUGGGUAUAAUACCCGAUAGAUCUAGAUUGCUGGAAUGCUUUUAGAUCUAAAGUUCCGACGCCUCAGGAUGGGUCUGCGGCCUAUCAGGGUAGUAGUGGGUGUAAAGUACCUACUAGCCUACGACGGGUACGGGUUGUGAGAGCAAGAGCCCGGAGAUGGAUUCUGAGACACGAAUCCAGGCCCUACGGGGUGCAGCAGGCGCGAAACCUUUACAAUGCUGGCAACAGCGAUAAGGGGACCUCGAGUGCUACGAUACAAUCGUGGCUGUCUAGUUGCCUAAAAAGCAAUUGAUAGCAAGGGCCGGGCAAGACCGGUGCCAGCCGCCGCGGUAACACCGGCGGCUCGAGUGGUAACCGCUAUUAUUGGGUCUAAAGGGUCUGUAGCCGGCUUAGUUAGUCUCUUGAGAAAUCUGGCCGCUCAACGGUCAGGCGUUCAGGGGAUACUGCUAAAGCUCGAGACCGGGAGAGGUGAGAGGUACUUCAGGGGUAGGGGUGAAAUCUUGUAAUCCUUGAAGGACCACCAGUGGCGAAGGCGUCUCACCAGAACGGAUCUGACGGCAAGGGACGAAAGCUAGGGGCACGAACCGGAUUAGAUACCCGGGUAGUCCUAGCCGUAAACGAUACUCGCUAGGUGUCGGCCACGGUGCGACCGUGGUCGGUGCCGUAGGGAAGCCGUGAAGCGAGCCACCUGGGAAGUACGGCCGCAAGGCUGAAACUUAAAGGAAUUGGCGGGGGAGCACUACAACGGGUGGAGCUUGCGGUUUAAUUGGAUUCAACGCCGGAAAUCUUACCGGGGCCGACAGCGAUAUGAAGGCCAGGCUAAGGACCUUGCCUGAUUAGCUGAGAGGUGGUGCAUGGCCGUCGUCAGUUCGUACUGUGAAGCAUCCUGUUAAGUCAGGCAACGAGCGAGACCCA